AACCAGCACCUCAAGUGGUCAGGAUGAUUAUUGGGCCUAAAGCAUCCGUAGCCGGCUCUGUAAGUUUUCGGUUAAAUCUGUACGCUCAACGUACAGGCUGCCGGGAAUACUGCAGAACUAGGGAGUGGGAGAGGUAGACGGUACUCGGUAGGAAGUGGUAAAAUGCUUUGAUCUAUCGAUGACCACCUGUGGCGAAGGCGGUCUACCAGAACACGUCCGACGGUGAGGGAUGAAAGCGUGGGGAGCAAACAGG
This 253-nucleotide ribosomal RNA is filed under the name uncultured archaeon. RNAcentral's name for it is "partial 16S ribosomal RNA". It matches the Rfam family "Archaeal small subunit ribosomal RNA", at positions 474 to 727 of the family's 1478-position model. The record is from RNAcentral.